AUUGAACGCUGGCGGCAGGCCUAACACAUGCAAGUCGAGCGGAUGAAGGGAGCUUGCUCCUGGAUUCAGCGGCGGACGGGUGAGUAAUGCCUAGGAAUCUGCCUGGUAGUGGGGGAUAACGUCCGGAAACGGGCGCUAAUACCGCAUACGUCCUGAGGGAGAAAGUGGGGGAUCUUCGGACCUCACGCUCUCAGAUGAGCCUAGGUCGGAUUAGCUAGUUGGCGGGGUAAAGGCCUACCAAGGCGACGAUCCGUAACUGGUCUGAGAGGAUGAUCAGUCACACUGGAACUGAGACACGGUCCAGACUCCUACGGGAGGCAGCAGUGGGGAAUAUUGGACAAUGGGCGAAAGCCUGAUCCAGCCAUGCCGCGUGGGUGAAGAAGGUCUUCGGGUUGUAAAGCACUUUAAGUUGGGAAGAAGGGCAGUAAGUUAAUACCUUGCUGUUUUGACGGUACCAACAGAAUAAGCACCGGCUAACUUCGUG
Molecule: ribosomal RNA, 484 nt
Filed under: uncultured bacterium
Lineage: Bacteria
Description: partial 16S ribosomal RNA
Rfam family: Bacterial small subunit ribosomal RNA
Source: RNAcentral